Esox lucius (northern pike) is the source of this 1383-nucleotide long non-coding RNA. The record is from Ensembl. Lineage: Eukaryota; Metazoa; Chordata; Actinopteri; Esociformes; Esocidae.
GUUCCCGUAGUCGGCUACCUAUUCGAGUGGCCAUGGACACGAGACCAUCCAAACACGUGGGCACAUCUCGGGCAGCAAGCUCGUCCUUGAUGGGGUCACACAAACCGUUGUAGAACGUGUCGAGUAGCGCCUCAGAACCCCACGAACACUCCGCUGCCAGGGUACGGAAUUUGAUGGCGUAAUCCGGAACGCUACUGUUGCCCUGCCUGAGUCGUAGGAGCUGGCGUGCCGCUUCCCUGCCGGACAGAGGGGCAUCGAAAACCUUCUUUACCUCCGCCGUGAAAGCCGCUAGGCUGUAACAGAUGGGCAAUCGUUGGUCCCAGAUCGGCGUGGCCCAGGCCAAGGCCCGCCCGGACAUCAUGGUAAUGAUGUAAGCAACCCGUGACUUCUCCGUAGGGAACGAGGACGGCUGGAGCUCGAAGAUGCGCGAGCACUGGGACAAAAAGGGAACACAAUAACUGGAGUCACCAGAGAACCGUUCGGGGGCAGAACACCUCACCCAAUAAAACAACUACAGAUGGAUCCGGGGGAGCUACAUGCAUGACUGACGCAGCAGGAGGAGCUACAUGCACGACUGAUGCAGCAGGAGGAGCUACAUGAACGACUGACACAGCAGGAGGAGCUACAAGCACAACCGUCGCAGCAGGAGAAGUAUAUUGACGAGCUCCACCCCUGCAGGGGGUCAAAAAGACAAUAGGAUCUACCUGUCCUUCUCACUGUUAAUGGGGUGACUCUGUCCGUUAAGGGAUUAGUGGUUUCGGGAGCAGCUGGUCAUUUUAUUGAUUAUCAACAAGUCCAUGACCUGGGCAGUAAAACGAACCCCUCUUGACCCUCCUUUAAGGAUGAGCUCCCUGGAUGGGGAACACCUUGGCACCACCAGGUGAGCCACUGGUUCUUGGACACCCCUGGCUUAGCCUCCAUGACCCUGUCAUCUCUUGGAGAAGAGGAGAACUGUGCUCGUGGAGAACUUUCUGUUUUUCCCAUUGCCUUAAUCUUCUACUUCCAUUCCUCCUCAGUAUGUCCAAGGAAAAGACCUCUAUUCUGCUGCCUCAUUGCGCUUGGCACUGUGCUGCUGAUGUACUCCCUGACUCCACUCCACCUAAAGGAAGGAUCUAUCCUGUGUCUCUUCCAGAAAAGGAGACCAUAAAUACCUACAUUGAUGAUGCCUUCCAACAAGGAUCAAUACACCCAUCCACAUUACCCACGGCCUCCAGGUGUCUGAAUGAAAUUACAAUCAAACAUCGAUACUUUCUUCCUCUGAUUCAGGCCUCUCUGGAGCAGGUGGGCAGGCCUCCAUCUAUCCAAGUGGGAUUUACGCAACACAUAUAACCUGAUCCAUAUUGGAAAGGGAGACUGUUAUGGUAAUUUUGAACUAAGGUACAU